Fragaria vesca subsp. vesca is the source of this 1979-nucleotide RNA transcript. RefSeq lists it as uncharacterized. NCBI's taxonomy places the organism in Eukaryota, Viridiplantae, Streptophyta, Magnoliopsida, Rosales, Rosaceae. The record is from RefSeq and is a predicted model, not a curated record. The transcript has 2 exons.
CCCUUUGUUAGCUACAAAGAGACCCAACACAGAAGCAGAACAGGAAGAUAGUAGAGAUAGAUAGUGGUCGAGUUUGAAUUGGUUGGUUGGUCUAAAGGGAUCCAAUGGCUGAGGAGCAAAUUAAUUUUGAAGAGGAGGAAUAUGGAGCUGCUCAGAAGCUCCAAUAUCAGGGAAGUGGAGCCAUAUCUGCUCUUGCAGAUGAAGAACUGAUGGUGGAAGAUGAUGAGUAUGACGAUCUCUAUGAUGAUGUUAAUGUUGGAGAGGGUUUCCUCCAGAUGCAUCGAUCUGAGGCACCAGCAGGGGCUGGUAGUGUUGGGAAUGGAGGACCUCAAGCUCAGAAAACUGUUGCUCCUGAACUAAGAGUUCAAGCUGGUGCGUCUCAGGAAAUGAAAAUUCCGGGGGUUUCAGUUGGAGGAAAUUAUUCUACUGUUCCUGAACAGAAGGUUCAGCCACCAGUGGCUAAUGUGCCUGAAACUCAAGUCAGGCAUAUGGGGUUUCAGGGUUCAACAACUAUACCCUCGAAUGUUGGUGUUGAUUCUUUGGAAGUUACUGGAAAAUUUGCUAAUGAGCCUCUUCAAUCAAUGAAUUCUGGCACUACUGGUCCUUCAGCUGUUGCACAGGUGCCUGCUAAUCAAAUGAAUAUGAAGGUCAAUCUUAAUCGUCCAAUGGUUAAUGAUAACCAAAUCCGUCCUCCAGUUGAGAAUGGUUCAGCCACACUGUUUGUGGGAGACUUACAUUGGUGGACAACUGAUGCUGAACUGGAAAGUGUUUUAUCUCAGUUUGGGAGGGUGAAAGAAAUUAAGUUCUUUGAUGAAAGAGCCAGUGGUAAAUCCAAAGGUUAUUGUCAGGUAGAUUUUUAUGAUCCAGCAGCAGCCAGUGCAUGCAAAGAGGGAAUGGAUGGUUAUGUUUUCAAUGGGAGAGCUUGUGUUGUGGCCUUUGCUUCUUCACAAACUUUAAAGCAGAUGGGAGCUAAUUAUGUGAACAAGUCCCAAGGGCAGGUUCAGACUCAGCCCCAAGGGAGAAGGCCCAUGAAUGAUGGUGCUGGGAGGGGGGGAGGCAUGAAUUUUCAAGGUGGAGACACUGGGAGAAAUUUUGGGAGGGGCAACUGGGGACGAGGUGGACAGGGAGUACCCAACAGAGGUCCUGGUGGACCAGGCCGGGGAAGAGGAGGGGCCAUGGGUGCAAGGAACAUGGUUGGAAACAAUGCUGGGGUUGGAACUGGUGGUAAUGGAGGAGGCUAUGGACAGGGUCUUGCAGGUCCUGGUUUUGGCGGUCCUGUGGGAGGUAUGAUGAAUGCACCUGGCAUGAUGGGUCCUGGGUUCGAUCCAACAUAUAUGGGUCGAGGAGGUGGUUAUGGGGGGUUCCCUGGUCCUGGUUUUCCUGGAAUGCUUCCCCAGUUUCCUGGUAUGGGACUUGCUGGGGUUGCUCCUCAUGUAAACCCAGCUUUCUUUGGGAGGGGAAUGGCAACAAGCGGCAUGGGGAUGAUGGGUUCUUCUGGAAUGGAGGGGCAUCACGCUCCUAUGUGGAAUGAUCCAAGUAUGGCUGGGUGGGGAGGAGAAGAACAGGAUCAAAGAACUAGGGAGUCGAGCUAUGGGGGUGAUGAUGGUGGUUCUGAGUAUGGGAACUAUGUAGAGGCAAAUCUUGAGAAAUCAGCCAAGUCAAGUGCUGUCUCAAGGGACAGAGAACGGGGAUCUGAGCGUGAGUGGACAGGAUCAUCUGAGAGGAGGCAUCGUGAUGAGAGGGAACAAGACUUUGACAGGUCUGAAAGGGAGCACAAGGAGCCCAGGUACAAAGAAGAAAAAGAUAGUCACAGAGAGCAUCGUCGAAGAGAGCGGGAUGUGGGUUAUGAUGAUGACUGGGACAGAGGACAAUCUUCUUCAAGACCUCGCAGCAGGUCCAAAGCAGUGCCAGAAGAUGAUCAUCGUUCUCGAUCAAGGGAUGUGGAUUAUGGGAAGAGGAGAUGAUUGCCAUCUGAGUGA